ACGGCUCAGUAACACGUAGCUAACCUGCCCCACAGCCCGUAAUACCCUCGGGAAACUGAGGCUAAGGACGGAUAAUUGAUGAUUUCUGGAACGAUUUAUCAAUGAAAGCUAGCGGUGGGAUGGGCUGCGGCUGAUUAGGUAGUUGGCGGGGUAACUGCCCACCAAGCCAAUGAUCAGUAAGGGCCUUUAGCGAGGAAGCCCUGAGAGGGAGUCUGAGACACUAGUCCCAGCACUAUGGUGUGCAGCAGGCGGGAAAAUUCUCCAAUGUUCGAAAGAAUGAGAGAGGAAUCCAAAGUGCUUCUCAAUUUGAGAGGCUUUUGUCUACUUUAAAAAGGUGGGCGAAUAAGGACUGGGCAAGACUGGUGCCAGCCGCCGCGGUAAUCCCAGCAGUCCAAGUCGCAGCCACAUUUGUUGUGUCUAAAACAUCCGUAGCUUGCCUUUCAAGUCUCUUGUGAAAUCGGGCCUCUUAAGGGUCCGGCGUGCAAGAGAUACUGUAAGGCUAGAGACCGGGAGACGUAAGAAGUACAAUCGGAGUAGCGGUAAAAUGCGUUGAUCCUGAUUGGACUAACAAUAGCGAAGGCAUCUUACGAUAACGGUUCUGACAGUGAGGGAUGAAGGCUAGGGGCGCAAAACGGAUUAGAUACCCAUGUAGUCCUAGCAGUAAACACUGCACACUAAACAUCAGUACCUCUUCGAGAGGUAUUGGUGCUGUAGGGAAGCCGGAGAGUGUGCUACCUGGGAAGUAUAGUCGCAAGACCGAAACUUAAAGGAAUUGGCGGGGGAGCAC
This 787-nucleotide ribosomal RNA is filed under the name uncultured archaeon. RNAcentral describes it as "bacterial SSU rRNA". It matches the Rfam family "Archaeal small subunit ribosomal RNA", at positions 85 to 879 of the family's 1478-position model. The record is from RNAcentral.